This 76-nucleotide transfer RNA is filed under the name Chloroflexota bacterium. Its description in RNAcentral is "Chloroflexi bacterium (Noosa River metagenome) tRNA-Thr". It matches the Rfam family "tRNA". From Rfam's summary of the family: Transfer RNA (tRNA) molecules are approximately 80 nucleotides in length. Their secondary structure includes four short double-helical elements and three loops (D, anti-codon, and T loops). Lineage: Bacteria; Bacillati; Chloroflexota. The record is from RNAcentral.
GCCACCGUGGCUCAAUCGGCAGAGCAAUCGCUUCGUAAGCGAUAGGUUAUGGGUUCGAUUCCCAUCGGUGGCUCUA